RNAcentral lists this transfer RNA (64 nucleotides) under Phanerotoma flava. Its description in RNAcentral is "tRNA-Arg". Lineage: Eukaryota; Metazoa; Arthropoda; Insecta; Hymenoptera; Braconidae. The record is from RNAcentral.
AAUUAAGAAACAAUAAUUUUGUAUUCAAUUUCGAAUUGAAAUUUAGAUAAUUUAUCCUUAAUUG